AGCAGUAGCCGCGGUAAUACGAAGGGUGCAAGCGUUACUCGGAAUUACUGGGCGUAAAGCGUGUGUAGGUGGUUGUUUAAGUCUGUCGUGAAAGCCCUGUGCUCAACCUGGGAAUUGCGAUGGAUACUGGGCGACUAGAGUGCGGUAGAGGAUAGUGGAAUUUCCGGUGUAGCAGUGAAAUGCGUAGAGAUCGGAAGGAACAUCUGUGGCGAAGGCGACUAUCUGGGCCAACACUGACACUGAGACACGAAAGCAUGGGGAGCAAACAGGAUUAGAUACCCCUGUAGUCCCUGUCUCUUAUAC
RNAcentral lists this ribosomal RNA (303 nucleotides) under uncultured bacterium. RNAcentral describes it as "partial 16S ribosomal RNA". It matches the Rfam family "Bacterial small subunit ribosomal RNA", at positions 507 to 807 of the family's 1533-position model. The record is from RNAcentral.